UACGUAGGUGGCAAGCGUUGUCCGGAUUUAUUGGGUUUAAAGGGUGCGUAGGCGGUCUAUUAAGUCAGUUGUGAAAUAUGGCAGCUCAACUGUCAAGGUGCCAUUGAUACUGCGGAGCUUGAGUACAGAUGAGGUAGGCGGAAUUGACGGUGUAGCGGUGAAAUGCUUAGAUAUCGUCAAGAACACCUAUAGCGAAGGCAGCUUACUAGGCUGUAACUGACGCUGAGGCACGAAAGUGUGGGGAUCAAACAGG
RNAcentral lists this ribosomal RNA (253 nucleotides) under uncultured bacterium. RNAcentral's name for it is "partial 16S ribosomal RNA". It matches the Rfam family "Bacterial small subunit ribosomal RNA", at positions 524 to 776 of the family's 1533-position model. The record is from RNAcentral.